RNAcentral lists this ribosomal RNA (808 nucleotides) under uncultured bacterium. RNAcentral's name for it is "bacterial SSU rRNA". It matches the Rfam family "Bacterial small subunit ribosomal RNA", at positions 638 to 1446 of the family's 1533-position model. The record is from RNAcentral.
UGACUNGAGUGCAGAAGGGGAGAGUGGAAUUCCAUGUGUAGCGGUGAAAUGCGUAGAUAUAUGGAGGAACACCAGUGGCGAAAGCGGCUNUCCGGUCUGUCACUGACGCUGAGGCUNGAAAGCGUGGGUAGCGAACAGGAUUAGAUACCCUGGUAGUCCACGCCGUAAACGAUGAGUGCUAGGUGUUAGGCCCUUUCCGGGGCUUAGUGCCGGAGCUAACGCAAUAAGCACUCCGCCUGGGGAGUACGACCGCAAGGUUGAAACUCAAAGGAAUUGACGGGGGCCCGCACAAGCGGUGGAGCAUGUGGUUUAAUUCGAAGCAACGCGAAGAACCUUACCAGGUCUUGACAUCCCGAUGCUAUUCUUAGAGAUAGGAAGUUACUUCGGUACAUCGGAGACAGGUGGUGCAUGGUUGUCGUCAGCUCGUGUCGUGAGAUGUUGGGUUAAGUCCCGCAACGAGCGCAACCCUUAUUGUUAGUUGCCAUCAUUAAGUUGGGCACUCUAGCGAGACUGCCGGUAAUAAACCGGAGGAAGGUGGGGAUGACGUCAAAUCAUCAUGCCCCUUAUGACCUGGGCUACACACGUGCUACAAUGGUCGGUACAACGAGUUGCGAGCCGGUGACGGCAAGCUAAUCUCUGAAAGCCGAUCUCAGUUCGGAUUGGAGGCUGCAACUCGCCUCCAUGAAGUCGGAAUCGCUAGUAAUCGCGGAUCAGCACGCCGCGGUGAAUACGUUCCCGGGCCUUGUACACACCGCCCGUCACACCACGAGAGUUUGUAACACCCGAAGUCGGUGAGGUAACCUUUUAG